Molecule: long non-coding RNA, 458 nt
Filed under: Gallus gallus (chicken)
Lineage: Eukaryota; Metazoa; Chordata; Aves; Galliformes; Phasianidae
Description: lncRNA (ENSGALG00010000549.1)
Source: RNAcentral
GGAGGAUGUGGGAUGUCCUUGUGACGGCUGAGGCACUGGGCGCACAAGGAGCCCAAGGCAGGGAGGGCUGACGGCACCGCAGCACUUGCACGGCGCGAGCAGCUGGCCAGGUGCUGGUGGUAGAAAGCUACAGCUCACCUUGAGAAGAGCUUUCCUGAACUUCUCUUUCCCUGACAGCUUGUCAAGGAAGUCGUAAUAGAAUUUCAUGUGGAAGGUCAGUCCAUCGAUGUGGAGCACUCCAAUGUCCUUGAAGACAACGGCAACGUUCUCCCCAUUCUUCAGGCAGCCAGAGAGCAGGGACACGGUGCUUUGGAUGCAAGCCUGCGCUGUCUGCCAGUGCUUCCCUGGAACUGCUUCUUGUGGCCAUCAGCCAGAACGGCCCCGUGUUUGGACGGGCUCCUCCGAGGGGGAGGUUUGCUUUGGAGAAUGGAGGCGGUGGCCCUGUUGGCCCUGUGCGU